CCCUUAGAUGUUCUGGGCCGCACGCGCGCUACACUGAUGCAUUCAACGAGCCUAUCCUUGACCGACAGGUCCGGGUAAUCUUUGAAUCUGCAUCGUGACGGGGAUAGAUUAUUGCAAUUAUUAAUCUUCAACGAGGAAUGCCUAGUAGGCGCAAGUCAUCAGCUUGCGUCGAUUACGUCCCUGCCCUUUGUACACACCGCCCGUCGCUCCUACCGAUUGGGUGUGCUGGUGAAAUGUUCGGACCGGCCGUUUGUCGCGGUUUCCGCGUCAUGUGGCUGAGAAGUUCAUUAAACCCUCCCACCUAGAGGAAGGAGAAGUCGUAACA
Molecule: ribosomal RNA, 325 nt
Filed under: uncultured eukaryote
Lineage: Eukaryota
Description: partial 18S ribosomal RNA
Rfam family: Eukaryotic small subunit ribosomal RNA
Source: RNAcentral